Molecule: long non-coding RNA, 280 nt
Organism: Mesoplodon densirostris (Blainville's beaked whale)
Lineage: Eukaryota; Metazoa; Chordata; Mammalia; Artiodactyla; Ziphiidae
Exons: 3
Source: RefSeq, a predicted model, not a curated record
UCAGUAUGCAACAUGGAAGUGGGCUCUCACCAGAACUCAGCCAUGUGGACAGACCGAUCUCAGGCUUCCAGCCUCCAAAACUGGAGAUGCUGUUUUAUAUGUUCUACUUCAAGAGGAGAGGACUUUUAUUUUAGAUGUCAUGGGUUGAGCAGUGCAUACGUGAGCCUGCUGAACCCUGAGGGGGUUGUGUUCACUGUAGUGGAGAUUCAGUACUGCCAAGAUCAGCAAAGGACCAGAAGUUGAUGUCCUAUCGUGAGCAGGUCUACAGAGCAGGCACAUC